GAUCAUGGCUCAGGAUGAACGCUAGCGGCAGGCCUAACACAUGCAAGUCGAGGGGUAUAGUUCUUCGGAACUAGAGACCGGCGCACGGGUGCGUAACGCGUAUGCAACCUACCUCGUACAGGGGGAUAACCCGGAGAAAUUCGGACUAAUAUCCCAUAAUAAUAUUGAAAGGCAUCUUUUAAUAUUUAAAGCUCAGGCGGUACGGGAUGGGCAUGCGGAACAUUAGCUAGUUGGUAGGGUAACGGCCUACCAAGGCUGCGAUGUGUAGGGGACCUGAGAGGGUUAUCCCCCACACUGGUACUGAGACACGGACCAGACUCCUACGGGAGGCAGCAGUGAGGAAUAUUGGUCAAUGGGCGCAAGCCUGAACCAGCCAUCCCGCGUGAAGGAAGAAGGCGCUAUGCGUCGUAAACUUCUUUUCCAGGGGGAGAAUUUUCCGGUCGUGACCGGAAUUGACGGUACUCUGGGAAUAAGCAUCGGCUAACUCCGUG
RNAcentral lists this ribosomal RNA (491 nucleotides) under uncultured bacterium. Its description in RNAcentral is "bacterial SSU rRNA". It matches the Rfam family "Bacterial small subunit ribosomal RNA", at positions 15 to 507 of the family's 1533-position model. The record is from RNAcentral.